Molecule: long non-coding RNA, 911 nt
Filed under: Felis catus (domestic cat)
Lineage: Eukaryota; Metazoa; Chordata; Mammalia; Carnivora; Felidae
Description: lncRNA (ENSFCAG00000048077.1)
Source: RNAcentral
AGAAAACAUGUUCUCAAGAGGUUUCCGUUUCAAGUUGGCAGCCUUAAGUCAGCGGAGCUGGAGUCAAACUUUUUAAGGAAUGUCUGAGCUUGGAUCCUGCUCUGGGCUUCGCCUGGUCUCCAACUUUUGGGGCCCAGAUUUGGAACCGCCGUGGCUGGCUGAUAACGGGCUAUACCGAGAGUGCCCGAGGGGGGAGCCGGGCGUGUUGCUCCCACAAUACCCUCACUGGCUCCAAAGGGCGCGUCGCACGCGCAGGAGAUGAUUUAUGGACCCUGGCUAGGAAGAGAUUAGGAGCAUCAUUUAAACACAGAUCUGCUUUUCUUUCUUCUGGGAAAGUAGCCUCUUUUCAUUCAGAAAAAGGUAGCAGGAGUCCCGGUUGGCACAUCCAGCCGAAGGCAUCUCCGCACUGCGGAGUCGUUCUCCCCAAAUCAUGACGACGCUCUCCUCUUCUGCCCACCAUCCCAGUUCUGACCGUCGGGCUGGAUGGCCAGCCGUGCCCGUACGGCUGAGCUCCUCCCUGGUUAUGGCCCUGUUUGUGUUCCUAGUGUUUUCCUGGAUGGCUUUUCGUCUUUCAUUUCUGUUUCUUAUUCUUCUCUUUUCCCUGCGCUGUGAUGACGGCGGCUUGAUGGAGACUGACUGUAUGGAAAAAGGCAGCACAGGGCGGACAAGAAGGCUUGGCCCAAAGAGAAACGCGGGGCCUCCUUGUUCAACUGACCCCCGAAAUGGCCCAGAAUGGUGGUGGAUACCUACACGCGUCAUUUUCACUGUUGUGCCAAGGGAGUAAAGAUGUUAACUUAUGUCCAGAGAGUCUGCUGAUUGGUUCUGUCCGGCCCCACUAUUAUUUUAAAUCAACGGCUCCUGCCGCAAAAUCAGAUAAUUUCUCAGAAGACUUGCAUGGCAGCAUAUUCUAC